This 334-nucleotide RNase P RNA is filed under the name Rickettsiales bacterium. RNAcentral's name for it is "partial RNase P RNA component class A". It matches the Rfam family "Bacterial RNase P class A", at positions 1 to 317 of the family's 367-position model. From Rfam's summary of the family: Ribonuclease P (RNase P) is a ubiquitous endoribonuclease, found in archaea, bacteria and eukarya as well as chloroplasts and mitochondria. Its best characterised activity is the generation of mature 5'-ends of tRNAs by cleaving the 5'-leader elements of precursor-tRNAs. Lineage: Bacteria; Pseudomonadati; Pseudomonadota; Alphaproteobacteria; Rickettsiales. The record is from RNAcentral.
CCAGAGGGUCGGAUGGCCGCGGGCAGCGCUUGUCGCUGCGCGAGGAAAGUCCGGGCUCCAUGGAACAGGAUGGCGGGUAAUGCCCGCCCGGAGCAAUCCGAGGGAAAGUGCCACAGAGAGCAGACCGCCUGCCUUGUCUUUGACGGCGGGUAAGGGUGAAAGGGUGCGGUAAGAGCGCACCGCGAUGCUGGUAACAGCAUUGGCAGGGUAAACCCCAUCCGGAGCAAAACCAAAUAGGGGUGAUGCGCGGCUUUGGCCGCAGGCGCGUUCCACGCUGAAUCAUCCGGGUAGGUUGCUUGAGCGCUAUGGCAACAUAGUGCCUAGAUGAAUGGUC